This 639-nucleotide ribosomal RNA is filed under the name uncultured bacterium. Its description in RNAcentral is "bacterial SSU rRNA". It matches the Rfam family "Bacterial small subunit ribosomal RNA", at positions 232 to 885 of the family's 1533-position model. The record is from RNAcentral.
CGCGGCCUAUCAGCUUGUUGGUGGGGUAACGGCCCACCAAGGCAUCGACGGGUAGCUGGUCUGAGAGGACGAUCAGCCACACUGGGACUGAGACACGGCCCAGACUCCUACGGGAGGCAGCAGUGGGGAAUAUUGCGCAAUGGGCGAAAGCCUGACGCAGCAACGCCGCGUGGGGGAUGAAGGCCUUCGGGUUGUAAACCCCUUUCAGCAGGGACGAAAAUGACGGUACCUGCAGAAGAAGCCCCGGCCAACUACGUGCCAGCAGCCGCGGUAACACGUAGGGGGCAAGCGUUGUCCGGAUUUAUUGGGCGUAAAGAGCUCGUAGGCGGUUGCGUAAGUCGGAUGUGAAAACUCAGGGCUCAACCCGGAGACGCCAUCCGAUACUGCGAUGACUAGAGUCCGGUAGAGGAGUGUGGAAUUCCUGGUGUAGCGGUGAAAUGCGCAGAUAUCAGGAGGAACACCGACGGCGAAGGCAGCACUCUGGGCCGGUACUGACGCUCAGGAGCGAAAGCGUGGGUAGCAAACAGGAUUAGAUACCCUGGUAGUCCACGCCGUAAACGUUGGGCACUAGGUGUGGGGCCUUAUCAACGGGUUCCGUGCCGUAGCUAACGCAUUAAGUGCCCCGCCUGGGGAGUACGG